This 366-nucleotide RNase P RNA is filed under the name Alphaproteobacteria bacterium. RNAcentral's name for it is "RNase P RNA component class A". It matches the Rfam family "Bacterial RNase P class A". From Rfam's summary of the family: Ribonuclease P (RNase P) is a ubiquitous endoribonuclease, found in archaea, bacteria and eukarya as well as chloroplasts and mitochondria. The record is from RNAcentral. Lineage: Bacteria; Pseudomonadati; Pseudomonadota; Alphaproteobacteria.
UCAGAUGAUCGGAUAAUCGCUGAAAGGUAACUUUUGGAGGAAAGUCCGGGCUUCACGGAAACACGAUACCGGAUAACGUCCGGCUGGGGUGACCCACGGGAUAGCGCCAUAGAAAACAAACCGCCGAUAUUUAAUCGGUAAGGGUGAAACGGCGGGGUAAGAGCCCACCGCACUGUAAGUAAUUAGAGUGGCACGGCAAGCCCUAUCGGAAGCAAGACCAAGAAAAGAGAGCCAAAGAGGAAUCUUUGUUAAAAAGAGCGUUUCUGAUCUGCUCUCAAGAGGUAGGUCGCUAGAGGUGGGCAGUAAUGCUCAUCCAAGACGAAUGAUUAUCUAUUACAAAACCCGGCUUAUAGAUUAUCUGACAUU